This 1343-nucleotide ribosomal RNA is filed under the name uncultured bacterium. Its description in RNAcentral is "16S ribosomal RNA". It matches the Rfam family "Bacterial small subunit ribosomal RNA", at positions 28 to 1378 of the family's 1533-position model. The record is from RNAcentral.
GACGAACGCUUGCGGCGUGCUUAACACAUGCAAGUCGAACGGAAAGGCCCUGCUUUUGUGGGGUGCUCGAGUGGCGAACGGGUGAGUAACACGUGAGUAACCUGCCCUUGACUUUGGGAUAACUUCAGGAAACUGGGGCUAAUACCGGAUAGGAGCUCCUGCUGCAUGGUGGGGGUUGGAAAGUUUCGGCGGUUGGGGAUGGACUCGCGGCUUAUCAGCUUGUUGGUGGGGUAGUGGCUUACCAAGGCUUUGACGGGUAGCCGGCCUGAGAGGGUGACCGGCCACAUUGGGACUGAGAUACGGCCCAGACUCCUACGGGAGGCAGCAGUGGGGAAUAUUGCACAAUGGGCGGAAGCCUGAUGCAGCAACGCCGCGUGCGGGAUGACGGCCUUCGGGUUGUAAACCGCUUUCGCCUGUGACGAAGCGUGAGUGACGGUAAUGGGUAAAGAAGCACCGGCUAACUACGUGCCAGCAGCCGCGGUGAUACGUAGGGUGCGAGCGUUGUCCGGAUUUAUUGGGCGUAAAGGGCUCGUAGGUGGUUGAUCGCGUCGGAAGUGUAAUCUUGGGGCUUAACCCUGAGCGUGCUUUCGAUACGGGUUGACUUGAGGAAGGUAGGGGAGAAUGGAAUUCCUGGUGGAGCGGUGGAAUGCGCAGAUAUCAGGAGGAACACCAGUGGCGAAGGCGGUUCUCUGGGCCUUUCCUGACGCUGAGGAGCGAAAGCGUGGGGAGCGAACAGGCUUAGAUACCCUGGUAGUCCACGCUGUAAACGGUGGGUACUAGGUGUGGGGUCCAUUCCACGGGUUCCGUGCCGUAGCUAACGCUUUAAGUACCCCGCCUGGGGAGUACGGCCGCAAGGCUAAAACUCAAAGGAAUUGACGGGGCCCCGCACAAGCGGCGGAGCAUGCGGAUUAAUUCGAUGCAACGCGUAGAACCUUACCUGGGUUUGACAUGGAUCGGGAGUGCUCAGAGAUGGGUGUGCCUCUUUUGGGGUCGGUUCACAGGUGGUGCAUGGCUGUCGUCAGCUCGUGUCGUGAGAUGCUGGGUUAAGUCCCGCAACGAGCGCAACCCUUGUUCACUGUUGCCAGCACGUUAUGGUGGGGACUCAGUGGAGACCGCCGGGGUCAACUCGGAGGAAGGUGGGGAUGACGUCAAGUCAUCAUGCCCCUUAUGUCCAGGGCUUCACGCAUGCUACAAUGGCUGGUACAGAGAGUGGCGAGCCUGUGAGGGUGAGCGAAUCUCGGAAAGCCGGUCUCAGUUCGGAUUGGGGUCUGCAACUCGACCUCAUGAAGUCGGAGUCGCUAGUAAUCGCAGAUCAGCAACGCUGCGGUGAAUACGUUCCCGGG